CAGCCGUAAACUAUGCGCGUUAGGUGUAUCGGUGACCACGAGUUACCGAGGUGCCGAAGGGAAACCGUGAAACGUGCCGCCUGGGAAGUACGGUCGCAAGGCUGAAACUUAAAGGAAUUGGCGGGGGAGCACCGCAACGGGAGGAGCGUGCGGUUUAAUUGGAUUCAACACCGUAAACUCACCAGGGAAGACUGUUACAUGAAAGCCGAGAUGAAGACUCUGCUAGAUUUUCAGAGAGGAGGUGCAUGGCGUCAGUGACU
RNAcentral lists this ribosomal RNA (260 nucleotides) under uncultured archaeon. RNAcentral's name for it is "partial 16S ribosomal RNA". It matches the Rfam family "Archaeal small subunit ribosomal RNA", at positions 748 to 1008 of the family's 1478-position model. The record is from RNAcentral.